GCUCGACGACGGAGGCAGCCUCCCCUGAGCGGCCUGGUCUGCCUCCACCACCAGCGACGUCCCUUGCUCCGCUUCGACCCGCGCCGGCGCGGCGGAAGGCUCAUGCGCGGUGCCCGACGACGGCCCCUCGUGCGCCUCUGCGUCUGGCACCGCCACCGCCGCCUUCCUCUCCACCUCGCCUCUCAGCUCCUCGACUUCCGCGGGUGUCGGCCUCGACGUCGAAGGCGGCGCGGCCACUUGCCACUGCGGCUGGACCUGAGCAGGCACGCCAUGGUGGUAGUGUCCGCGUCCGCCUCGGUCCCCACCGACCGGCCUGGCGCCGUGGAAGGACUGGUGACCCCCUCUCUCGACACCUCCGCGGCCGCCACGCGCUGCGCCGACGGCUCCACCUCGGCCACCGCCAAGCUCCGCGCCGCCUUGGGCCCGCCAUUGGCCGCCACCGCCACGGCCGCCGGCGCCACCUCGGCCGCCCCCUCCACGGCCCCGCCCUUGGCCGUCACCUCCACGGCCUGCUGCUGCAUUGCCGCCACGCCGGCCGCCUCCGCCGUCGCGCGUCGACAUGGGCUGGGCUACGGAAACCCUACUACGGCUUGAGCGGAGGAGAUUACGGCCGAAAGGGUCGGUCUCGAGCGCAUAUUUAUCGUGGCUUUGGGGGGG
This 657-nucleotide unclassified non-coding RNA is filed under the name Zea mays. RNAcentral describes it as "misc RNA Zm00001eb217300". Lineage: Eukaryota; Viridiplantae; Streptophyta; Magnoliopsida; Poales; Poaceae. The record is from RNAcentral.